UACAGAGGGUGCAAGCGUUAAUCGGAGUUACUGGGCGUAAAGGGCGCGUAGGCGGUACUAUGUGUGUGAUGUGAAAGCCCCGGGCUUAACCUGGGAAGUGCAUCGCAAACUGUAGAACUAGAGUAGAUGAGAGGGUGAUGGAAUUUCCGGUGUAGCGGUGAAAUGCGUAGAGAUCGGAAGGAACGUCAAUGGCGAAGGCAGUCACCUGGCAUCAUACUGACGCUGAGGCGCGAAAGCGUGGGGAGCGAACAGG
RNAcentral lists this ribosomal RNA (253 nucleotides) under uncultured prokaryote. Its description in RNAcentral is "partial 16S ribosomal RNA". It matches the Rfam family "Bacterial small subunit ribosomal RNA", at positions 524 to 776 of the family's 1533-position model. The record is from RNAcentral.